UACCAGCACCCCGAGUGGUCGGGACGAUUAUUGGGCCUAAAGCAUCCGUAGCUUGUCCUGCAAGUCUUCCGUUAAAUCCACCUGCUCAACAGAUGGGCCGCGGGGGAUACUACAGGGCUAGGAGGCGGGAGAGGCAAACGGUACUCAGUGGGUAGGGGUAAAAUCCACUGAUCCACUGAAGACCACCAGUGGCGAAGGCGGUUUGCCAGAACGCGCUCGACGGUGAGGGAUGAAAGCUGGGGGAGCAAACCGG
RNAcentral lists this ribosomal RNA (253 nucleotides) under uncultured bacterium. RNAcentral describes it as "partial 16S ribosomal RNA". It matches the Rfam family "Archaeal small subunit ribosomal RNA", at positions 474 to 727 of the family's 1478-position model. The record is from RNAcentral.